Molecule: long non-coding RNA, 209 nt
Organism: Coregonus clupeaformis (lake whitefish)
Lineage: Eukaryota; Metazoa; Chordata; Actinopteri; Salmoniformes; Salmonidae
Exons: 3
Source: RefSeq, a predicted model, not a curated record
GCAGGAAGGAAGUGGGUAUACAACAGACCAACGUUUGGAAAAUGCCAAGAUCAAUGCUCAGACAGAGGAGAAAGCGCUGCCGGGGCCAAUAACGGCUUGACCUGAAUACAUGCUGUCUGCAGUCACACUGUGGCAAGAAAGGAGAUCUGUAGCUCAGCUGGUAGAGCACGGCGCUUGUAACGCCAAGGUAGUGGGUUCGAACCCCGGGA